CCUACGGGAGGCAGCAGUGAGGAAUAUUGGUCAAUGGACGAGAGUCUGAACCAGCCAAGUAGCGUGAAGGAUGACUGCCCUAUGGGUUGUAAACUUCUUUUAUAAAGGAAUAAAACGAGGCACGUGUGCCUUUUUGCAUGUACUUUAUGACUAAGGAUCGGCUAACUCCGUGCCAGCAGCCGCGGUAAUACGGAGGAUCCGAGCGUUAUCCGGUUUUAUUGGGUUUAAAGGGUGCGUAGGCGGACUGUUAAGUCAGCGGUAAAAGUCCGGGGCUCAACCCCGGCGAGCCAUUGAAACUGGCAGUCUUGAGAUGUCGAGAGGUAUGCGGAAUGCGCAGUGUAGCGGUGAAAUGCUUAGAUAUUGCGCAGAACCCCGAUUGCGAAGGCAGCAUACCGGCGGCGAUCUGACGCUGAGGCACGAAAGCGUGGGUAUCGAACAGGAUUAGAUACCCGUGUAGUC
RNAcentral lists this ribosomal RNA (459 nucleotides) under uncultured bacterium. RNAcentral describes it as "partial 16S ribosomal RNA". It matches the Rfam family "Bacterial small subunit ribosomal RNA", at positions 338 to 795 of the family's 1533-position model. The record is from RNAcentral.